AUGAGUAGAGGUGAUGAGUUUCUGUUACCGCCCCAGUCUGAUAAUUCAUGACUGAUUGGUUUUCUCUGAUCAA
This is a small nucleolar RNA of Platichthys flesus (European flounder), 73 nucleotides long. The record is from RefSeq and is a predicted model, not a curated record. NCBI's taxonomy places the organism in Eukaryota, Metazoa, Chordata, Actinopteri, Pleuronectiformes, Pleuronectidae.